RNAcentral lists this long non-coding RNA (1057 nucleotides) under Sparus aurata (gilthead seabream). RNAcentral's name for it is "lncRNA (ENSSAUG00010012357.1)". The record is from RNAcentral. Lineage: Eukaryota; Metazoa; Chordata; Actinopteri; Spariformes; Sparidae.
UUAAACUCUAUCAAAAAAUGAUUUAGAACAGCGAUGUCAACAGCAGCUUUGUCCAGGAGCAGAGGAGUGGCUGGUGUCAGAACCACUAAAGGCCUGUUCUCCAUCUUCACUCUGCUGUGUCUGGUUUGUCUCUCAAGUUCUGAAGUGGUAACCAAGGACCAACUGAAAAGGCUCAAGGAAAACAUUGAGAAAGAACAACAACUACUGAACAUGCAGAAGGCAUCAUUGGCCACCUCUUCACAGCUCAUGAAUUAUUAUGUGAACCUCAUGGACCCACUGAAGGGAAUAGUGAAGACAACCUCAGAAGACUCAUCUGAUGUCUUUCCACCACUGGAGGGACUAAUGGACUGCAUCAAGGACUUUGCGGAGAAAGCCAAGACUUUUGUAGAUGGGGAGAAUGAGGAGUUGGGUGAAAAGAUAGAGAAGAAUGAACAGACUCUGAGAAACAUUAGGAAAUUAAUCAAUUUAAUUGAGGAGAAAGAAGCUGAAUUGUAGCUCCCAUGUCAGUCAGCGCCUCUGUCUCUGAUGUUGCAUCUAUUGUACCCACUAAGUUUCUCUUUUUUAUCGUUCAGCUUCAUUUUACGGUUUCAUGAACUCAUGAAUUCCUUUUAUUGUUUGACAUAAGAUAGGAUGUUAAAGAGAGGGAUUCUCUAUUGAAACAGAUAGUGUGGAUAAUGUGUUGAUAUCUUCUUAAUGAAUACUUUAACAAUAAAGAAUUACAUUUUGGAAAGUGUAAAACAAUGUUUCUGAAAAAUGACACAAAAUAAAAUGAUUUAUUAACUGCUGUUUCCAGUUAGCUAAAAAUACUGAGGUAGAUUACAGAAGUAUGUCAUUGUUUUGUUUCCUUUUGCUGGUUUAAUUUCAGUUUCCUUACAUUCACCACAAUACAAACUAUAAUAUCCAGUCUACAUUCUUACAUCUGUGACUUGUAAGGUUAUUGUUUAGAUAUCAUAUAUACAUUCUAGGAAAAGCUGUUAAAAAUACAUUGUAUUGUAUAUCAAAUUCGGCCUGUGUGCAACCCAAAUAAAUUCCAUACAUAGGAAUGCAUACACAAUCC